CAGCAGCCGCGGGAAUACGUAGGUGGCAAGCGUUGUCCGGAAUUAUUGGGCGUAAAGCGCGCGCAGGCGGAUCAGUUAGUCUGUCUUAAAAGUUCGGGGCUUAACCCCGUGAUGGGAUGGAAACUGCUGAUCUAGAGUAUCGGAGAGGAAAGUGGAAUUCCUAGUGUAGCGGUGAAAUGCGUAGAUAUUAGGAAGAACACCAGUGGCGAAGGCGACUUUCUGGACGAAAACUGACGCUGAGGCGCGAAAGCCAGGGGAGCGAACGGGAUUAGAUACCCCUGUAGUCCCUGUCUCUUAUACA
Molecule: ribosomal RNA, 301 nt
Filed under: uncultured bacterium
Lineage: Bacteria
Description: partial 16S ribosomal RNA
Rfam family: Bacterial small subunit ribosomal RNA
Source: RNAcentral